This 376-nucleotide ribosomal RNA is filed under the name uncultured bacterium. RNAcentral describes it as "bacterial SSU rRNA". It matches the Rfam family "Bacterial small subunit ribosomal RNA", at positions 524 to 898 of the family's 1533-position model. The record is from RNAcentral.
UACGUAGGGGGCGAGCGUUGUCCGGAGUUACUGGGCGUAAAGGGCGUGUAGGCGGUUGAAAAAGUCGGGUGUGAAAUGCUUCAGCUCAACUGGAGCGCUGCGCUCGAAACUUUUCGACUGGAGUUCAGAAGGGGUAACUGGAAUUCCUGGUGUAACGGUGAAAUGUGUAGAUAUCAGGAGGAACAUCUGUGGCGAAGGCGGGUUACUGGUCUGAAACUGACGCUGAGACGCGAAAGCGUGGGGAGCAAACAGGAUUAGAUACCCUGGUAGUCCACGCUGUAAACGAUGAGUGCUAGGUGUAGGUGGUAUCGACUCCAUCUGUGCCGCAGCUAACGCAUUAAGCACUCCGCCUGGGGAGUACGGUCGCAAGAUUAAA